This 867-nucleotide ribosomal RNA is filed under the name uncultured Neocallimastigales. RNAcentral's name for it is "partial large subunit ribosomal RNA". It matches the Rfam family "Eukaryotic large subunit ribosomal RNA", at positions 1 to 628 of the family's 3401-position model. Lineage: Eukaryota; Fungi; Neocallimastigomycota; Neocallimastigomycetes; Neocallimastigales. The record is from RNAcentral.
GUACACGCUGUGACUAGCAUAUCAAUAAGCGGAGGAAAAGGGGGCUAUUACCUACGCUUAGGAUGUUGACACACGCGCGUGCUCGAUGAUAGUCUAUACAUGACUCUGUGCAUAUCAAUAAGCGGAGGAAAAGAAACUAACAAGGAUUCCCCUAGUAACGGCGAGUGAAGCGGGAAGAGCUCAAAUUUGAAAUCUUAAAGGGUUUCCCUUUACGAAUUGUAGUUUAAAGAAGUGUUUUCUGUUGAGGUUUUGGUAAAAGUUCUUUGGAAUAGGACAUCAUAGAGGGUGAGAAUCCCGUAUUUGACCUUUACUUUCAACUUUGUGAUACACUUUCAAAGAGUCGGAUUGUUUGGGAAUGCAGUCCAAAAUGGGUGGUAAAUUUCAUCUAAAGCUAAAUAUUGGCGAGAGACCGAUAGCGAACAAGUACCGUGAGGGAAAGAUGAAAAGAACUUUGAAAAGAGAGUUAAACAGUACGUGAAAUUGUCAAAAGGGAAGCGUUUGACACCAGUGUUGUUUUUCUGAAAAUCAAUUAAAGAACUGUUUAUGCUAAGCUGUUUAGACUCUAUCAGCUAACUGUUUAGUUUUGAGCUUUUCUUUGAUGCACUUUUCAGUUAACAAGUCAACAUCAAUUUCUUUUGCUGUAAAAAAGCUUGAGGAAGGUGGCUUGAGAUUCGUCUUAAGUGUUUAUAGCCUCUUGCCUAUGCAGUCGGAGAGAUUGAGGUCUGCAGCGUAGAUCCUUCGGGGCUAAAUGCAUUUGUGCUAAGUUAUAGCAUUUUAUAGACAACUUGUUGACUAUGAUUUGUCUUGUAGCUUACUCGCUUAUGUUAUUUUACCUACGCUUAGGAUGUUGAGUCGUAGAGCACGCAG